Long non-coding RNA from Hippocampus comes (tiger tail seahorse), 2669 nucleotides. RefSeq lists it as uncharacterized. The transcript is spliced from 2 exons. Lineage: Eukaryota; Metazoa; Chordata; Actinopteri; Syngnathiformes; Syngnathidae. The record is from RefSeq and is a predicted model, not a curated record.
CCCCCGCAUCUCUCGCGUUAACGAACAUUCUUUCAUUUCUCUCACUUAUAUAUAUAUUUAUUGGUCUUCACACGCUCCCUCCCCAAGUGGAACAAUGCACGGGCUCAUUUCGGAUGGCGACAUCACGCCAGUCUUGUCAACUUUUUGUUUCCCCUCCCUGUAUGUUUUUUUUCCUGCACGCUCCAUUCGCUGCUUUCAAGAUAGAAGCACAAACCAGGAUUUAUUGUUUUUCUUAUUGACUUCAUUUUUACAACCAGUGCUCCUUCUUCUCUCGUUCAUUUUUGUAUUUUCCGUGCGUUUUUUUUUUGCGCGUAGAAAAGCAGCAAAGUGAGAAUCUGCAAUGAAGGCGUUUUCAUCCAUUCAGGUGCCUUUUUUUUUUACUUCAGCAUCCUGUUAAUUGGUGCGCGGUAGCUUUAUCUGUACGCGAGUGAAAGUAAAAAAUGUGUGUCUGUGACUAUGAGUGUGAGUGUCUGGCAGUAACUGCCGAAGCGUGCCACGGAAUUUGAGAGCUGUGCAUCGCAUUAAAAAAAAGAUUGCGCACACUCGUUAGGGUCCAUUUUCCCCCUUUUUUUUCCCCCCAUAUAUUGAAUUUUUUUCUUGGUCAGUCUGUUAGUUUGAAAAUAGUGUGCAAAGUAUUUCUAUAUUUAAUUUUUGGUUUAUGUUAUAUUGCCAUGAUUAUUGCACCUGAAUUAUGUCUUGAUUUAUUAAUAUAUUCACGUUUCCAUUUCUUUUUAGCUGAUUUAUUUCGUGUUAGAUUGGCCACACAUUCAUAAUUUAUUACAAAGAAAUAGUGUAUUAUUAUGUACAUCUUAAUAUAUUUGUGAUAGUAAUUAUGAUUGUAUUUUGUACUUGUGCAUUAUUCAUAUAUAUAUUUUUAGCACAUACAAAUGGUGUAAGAAAAAAACAAACAAAAAAAAACGGCAUGAUCUUUUAUGUCGUACUGUCAUAUAUUAUUAUUAUUCAAAGCAGUGUAUUUUCUCUGCGCGUGUGGAUUGCCUCUUUGCUGUCUGGUUCAAGUCCCCGUUAAACCGAAAGGGAUCGCUGUAGGCGCUGCUAAAGAGCGUGUGCGCGCGCGACUGAUAAUCACGUGGUUAAAAAAAAAAACCUGCAGCGCAAAAAGGGUGAAAAAAGAGUGAUGACGUUGGAGCGGAGAGGAGUGGAGGCAGCCUUUCCAAAAAGAAGGGAAAAGCGGAGGAGGGGAGGGCGAAACAAAAGCGAGUCGAGCGUCUAAUGAACAGAUGACAGCGCGGGACAGCAGCAUGAUGCUGACACAACAACAAGACUCACCGGAAUGGAACCCUUUAUUUAUUCUUAUAUUUGAAAGCACAAAUGCUAAUUGCAUUCAUCACACAGUUGAGAAUCGUGCCAACUGCACACACAGAUGUAUGGUGUUCAUCUGAUGGCGCCGCCCACCCUCAUGGGGCUGAAUGGCAGACUGCUGCGAUGCGCUAAGUGAUGAAAUGAUGACCCCAUUAUGAGAAGUGGCUCCAAAAUGAGGGGGUAUCGGCCAAAGAUUGCGGACCGCCGCCGCCACCGCCGCCAGUCUCCUCCUCCUCCUGCUGCUUGCCCCGCUGCACACACAAUGAUUGAUUUGCUUGAGAUGGAUCACAGGAAGCAGCUAUUGAUUUUUCCUCUCCCUGCCUAUAGUGUUUUAUGAAGAAAAUACUUAUUUACACUUGGGUGUUUUCCAGACUUACUCAAUAUCCACUUUUUGGGGGUAGGAUAAAGGAUCUAAUUGUCCUUGCUCAGUGACGUGACAAAUGACCUGUAAUAUUAUUUCAGUCGGGAGUCAAUAGGCGGGAUGACUAAAUGAAUAUUGAUUGGUUACAAUGAAGCCUUGAAUGUGGAUGGGAGCCUUCUGUCAGGACCUUGCAGUCAGCAUUCAGACUGAUGAUGCCCCGCGUACACUUACACUUGCAAAAUACAGUGAAAAGUCAGAGUUACACAAUUUUUUUUUUCUCACAAGAAAUUGUGGAAAUCAAUCAAUCCCUUUCAGGUUCAUACUGAACCCAACAUAAAACCUUUAUUGUUAAAGGAAUGUUUGAAGCAAUAUUGAUUUGAAACCUGCAAAAACAAACAAAAAAAAAAUACAGUAGUACAAAAACAAAAUCUGGCACUAGCAUCUGUAACUUAAAGAAUUUUAAACUUUUUAAUCCCUUACUCAUGACAUUUUAAACCUUUUGUUGACUUGUAUCAGUUAUCAACGAGAAAUGCCAGCUCACGACUCUACAGUUCAAGUUACAACCACCCACUGGGGUUUUCUAUUCUGCCUCUAAAAUUGUGUUUACUUGAUGCUGAAGUACACUGUAUGAAUUAUCUUUUGUUAUGCGCUGCAAUGGUCUUUACAAUUGGAUGAAAACAUUCCGCUAGACAUUAUUCACCUUUUGUCAGUAUGAACCAGUUAUAAAUCGUAAGCGCUGGCUCACGAUUUGGCAAAAUCAAACGACACCACACACUAUCGUUAACUAUUCUGUGUCUUAUUCCGUGGUUGCCUUAAGCUUUGACCAUUUCAAAAUAGCAAACGUGGGCAUAUUUUAAAGUGAAAGAAGUGUCACUUUUUUAUCACUACAUAACCGCAUGAAUGUGGGUCCACUAUCUGGCAAGCCUGAGGUCAUUUGCACUGUUAUUUAACAAUUUCUAGCAGAUUAUUAAGACUGAGCAAAAAGAAA